UGACGGUACAGUGACUCGUUUUUUAUAAAAUUGAUCUAAUGUUACAUUUGAUUUUUAUACUUUAAUUAAAUGAAAAAUCGUAAUCGUAAAAGUUUCGAAAUUAACCGCCGAAGUCGACUGUUGAAACGAAGUCGCGAGGAGGCGACCGUCACACGUGUUGUACUUUGUAUUCUCCAUAUAGACGUUAUCGGUUUAUUCAUAUCGAGUGUACUGUGAGAGAAACAUAUUCGGAGUCACGAGUCCGAUACACCUAGUUACUGUAACGCUUAGAAUUCGACAAAUUUAAUUAGAGUUAUAACUGAUGAGAAGGGAGGAAGCAACAAGUCUCCGACCCGCCGCGGCCGUCCUCGACUCCCUUCAUUCUCGCAUCCAUUUGAGUAUGUGGUAUCGGUAUUGGUUAAUGCCUUUUUGGAUUGAUACUGGGAGUGAACGGUGACGCGUUACUUCCUUUUAUGUUAUAAAAAAUGUAAAAUAUGUUAUUGGCUUAUUACUUCAUUUCUGUCGACACUUCGGUAGUGGCAGGCUAGGAUGGGUUAAAUGCUCUAGUCGGAGAUGCGGUGCAUUAUUCAUCAGCGGGUGGAAAGUUUUGUCUUUUCGAAUAUCAAGAUGUGGGUCAAGGCCCUGGUUGGCCGGUCCGCUACUCGCCAGUCGCGAUGCCUACUUGAUGUUCAUUUAGAUGCAACCUCGUUCAACAUUGCUUAAUUACUCAUUAUAACUUCCGUCUCGAUAAUUCGAGGAAAAGUUUCUCUGUUUCAAUUCAAGAUUUAAAAUAAUAGAUGUUAACUUAAACAUUUAUUUAAAUAACCUACCGAGAUUCUUAUUGGAAUUAGACAUGCCAAACUAUUUGUAGUCAUUAAACUGUAUUAGCACCAGCAUUCACUGAAAAUAAUUUUCAAACGCAAAAUGAUGUUUUUGUUGUGUCAGAACAAACGUGUAGAUAAGAGUAACCGAGCACUGACUAUCAGCUGGUGUCGAGGGUCGAGCGAUACGAUAUUGUUUUUGUCGGAGCGGGAGACCGCAGGCUAUCGAGGGUUAUCGCACUCUUGUUUCGAAGUUUGUAAGUUGGUUCCUUCCACGCGGUUCUAUCGUGCUCUUUAAAUAAACACUAUGUUUUAUUUGGUUUCGGCUGAACGUAAAGCUGUGGAGGAGAGCAAUCAGGAGACUGGUGAAAGCAGCUAUAAAUUAAUCGCUCAAGUGGAUUCCACUUUCGAAACGAAUUCUUAUAGGUACCGGAUCGUCGCCGCGGCGGGACCGGUUCUUAAUUUCCUAUAGGUGUGCGCGUUAUGCAUCUAUUUCGGGAGUCGAUGACCGCCAGUUUGGCACUGCGGCCGGUUUCACUCUGUCCGGGACUAUCCGCCGCACCUCCUCGGUGUUCGUGUCGAAGGCACGCGUGCGUAUUUUGAGUGGGUGACGUCACGAGGCGUCCCCUCUAACCCUCUGGUAAUAAAUGAUCAUUAUUCGUUCUGUGAGAACAAUCCCGCCAUGAACAUGAUAUCCCACGUGGCGAUCGCCCCGAGCAUUGUUGUCGGCUAUUUUUGUCAUCCGCUAAAAUGAGCGGCAGAUCGCUCGCCCGUCGAUCUCCGUGACGGGCGCUGGCGCAUUAUUUGUUUCUUUAUUUACGUCAAUAGUUUGUUGCACAAAUCGCUACUGCGUUAUUUAUGCGAGGACACGUGAUGUGUUAAAAAAUAACCUUUUGGAUGUAGGCAUUGUGAAAAAUUAAAAGUGUGCGGGACAGUCAUCGACCGUGGAGCAACAACGUGGAACAUCCGAGGAGGAAAACAGGAGAGGAAACAAAAAAAAUAAAUACAUCUCGUGACGGCGCAAACACCGCGUUAACAGAGAAACAUUGGAAAUGAAAAUAAUUAUUGUUAUACUCCGAUGACUUCCUUCAAAGACGUUGCCGGAGAAGGGUUCAAAAUAGUAGAAGAGAGUGCUUAGAAAAAAUAUUCUGUAUUUACUUAUGGAACACUUUGAAACAAAAACAUUUUGAUCCUUAUAUAUCGUAGCUCCAAUCUGCAAAGAGUUGGGAUCAUACAAGUGACACGGACUCGAACAAUCACUAAGUUGCAAAGAUCCGUGGGUGACGAGCUGCUGGAUCUAUAGUCGCUUGUAUCCUGAGGAGAAUUGUUGAUUAUAAUUAAUAUGAAGUGUUCUUAAGCUUUUACACUAGUUUGUAUUCUGACGAAAUAUAAUGUGUUUUAUAUGA
Long non-coding RNA from Danaus plexippus (monarch butterfly), 2206 nucleotides. RefSeq lists it as uncharacterized. The transcript is spliced from 2 exons. The record is from RefSeq and is a predicted model, not a curated record. Lineage: Eukaryota; Metazoa; Arthropoda; Insecta; Lepidoptera; Nymphalidae.